GACGAACGCUGGCGGCGUGCUUAACACAUGCAAGUCGAACGAUCUCGAGACUUCGGUCUCAAUGAGAUAGUGGCGAACGGGUGAGUAACACGUGAGAAACCUGCCCCGGAGAUUGGGAUAACUCGAGGAAACUCGUGCUAAUACCAAAUAUCUUCCGACCAUCGCAUGGUGGACGGAAGAAAUGGUCCGCCGCUCUGGGAGGGUCUCGCGGCCUAUCAGCUUGUUGGUGAGGUAACGGCUCACCAAGGCAUCGACGGGUAGCUGGUCUGAGAGGACGAUCAGCCACACUGGGACUGAGACACGGCCCAG
Molecule: ribosomal RNA, 309 nt
Filed under: uncultured bacterium
Lineage: Bacteria
Description: bacterial SSU rRNA
Rfam family: Bacterial small subunit ribosomal RNA
Source: RNAcentral